RNAcentral lists this ribosomal RNA (409 nucleotides) under uncultured bacterium. Its description in RNAcentral is "bacterial SSU rRNA". It matches the Rfam family "Bacterial small subunit ribosomal RNA", at positions 123 to 513 of the family's 1533-position model. The record is from RNAcentral.
AAUCUACCUUUGGAUGGGGAAUAACCACCGGAAACGGUGGCUAAUACCGCAUAAUGCAGCGGCACCUAAUGGUGACAGUUGUUAAAGCGGGGGAUCGUAAGACCUCGCGUCUGAAGAGGAGCCUGCGGCGGAUUAGCUAGUUGGUAGGGUAACGGCUUACCAAGGCAAUGAUCCGUAGCCGGCCUGAGAGGGCGGUCGGCCACACUGACACUGACAUACGGGUCAGACUCCUACGGGAGGCAGCAGUCGGGAAUUUUGGGCAAUGGGCGAAAGCCUGACCCAGCAACGCCGCGUGAAGGAUGAAAUCCCUCGGGAUGUAAACUUCGCAAGAACAGGAAGAAUAAGUAAGGGUUAAUAUCUCUUACGAUGACGGUACUGUUUGUAAGCUCCGGCUAACUCCGUGCCAGCA